RNAcentral lists this long non-coding RNA (4703 nucleotides) under Rhinopithecus bieti (black snub-nosed monkey). RNAcentral's name for it is "lncRNA (ENSRBIG00000046378.1)". Lineage: Eukaryota; Metazoa; Chordata; Mammalia; Primates; Cercopithecidae. The record is from RNAcentral.
ACUUAAUUGGAUAAACUACACUAUGUUGUACAUCAUUGGUGAGAGGAAACAAUUGGGAAAAAGGAACAAAAGUUGCAUAACUUUGUGGCUCACAAGCUGCUCGUCAAAUAUAGUGAAGUUUGUUGAUUUAUUCAAAUGUAGGUACAUCUAUAGUGUGCAAGGAGCUAGUGUUAAAACAACACAUGAUGUGUCCUGAACAAGUAGGAAUGUACAGCACAGCUACCUAAAGGAUAGAUAAGGUGAAAAUUAAAAUAGCAAUGCUAUAUCAACUGUGCAAACUUAAAGUGGGUUUUCUUUUUCAGGGGGCACCCAAGCCAAUCGCCAUUGAACCUUGUGCUGGGAACAGAGCUGCUGUUCUGACUGUGUUUCUUUGUCUACCACGAGGAUCAUCAGGUGCCCCUCCCCCUGGGCAGUCAGGCCUUGCAAUUGCCAGUGCCCUAAUAGAUAUUUCACAACAGAAAGCUUCAGAUAGUAAAGAUAAGACUUCUGGAGUCCGGAAUCGAAAACACCUUUCAACACGUCAAGGAACUUGUGUCUGAGAAAUGGAAACCGCUCCUGUAUAUUCUGUACUGUUUUACUCUGGGCUUCUGUAACGCUGUUCUAUGGCCUCGGAUUUUAUGGAGGCAAAUCUCUGCAUCAUCCCGAGCCUGAGUACAGUUUCCUUCCAAAUGGGCAGUGACCCAGGUGGCCAAAGACUGUUCAUGAGUUUUAUAAAAGUAUUGAUGGUCACAGGUGAUAAAGUCCGUUUUUACCACUAUCUUAGGCUUAUUAUAGCUAACAUUAAACUACUCUGGAAAAAGAUGUAUAUCGUUUCUUAAUGAAGAUGAAAAAUAUGUAAUUCAUAUAAAUCAACUGUUUAUAUCCCAAGACUUUAAAGACAUUUUUUAAUGCCUGAAUGAUGAGAAUUGUACAGUUUUUGCCUCAUAAGCAAACUUGAAUCACCUGUAUAUGAAUAGGGAAUGAACACAUUGCAAUGGCUUUAAAUGCUCUUUUAUCUCGUUGUAAAUGUGAAGGCAAGAUUUUGAUGCAGUAGGAUGUAGGUAAUGUAUUUAAAUAUUUCACAUGACCAUAUCGUGUCCAAACUCAGUCUGAGAAUGUGACCGCUUUCCAUCUAACUGGAAUGCAGAUCAGAAUGAGUUCAACUCAUUCUGUGCAACUUCACAGGAGGUUUAUUAGAAUGCUCAGUGUAGAGGACAUUCCCGUCAUCCAUGCCAACUGCCUAACUCAUUAUCAGAGCUGAUAGAGCAUGGAAAAACCUGUCCAGCAAUCAGUUGUUUCCCUCCUUCCAAAAACAGCCUCCAAUGCCACGACCUGAAGAGAGCCGAAAUGGUUAUUUUACAGCAUACAAGCUUCUGCUCCAGUAUGAUAAUUUUUAGUUGCCUAAGAAUCAUUGGAUCAGACCUAAAUGAUCCAUCUGCAUUUUUAUAAGAAUGAAUCUUUCUUUGCCCUUCCUCUCCUAGCUGCUAGAUUUUAACUACCUUUUACAAAUGUUACAAAACGUAUUUUAGAGGCAACGUCUCUCAAGAUGACCUGAGUUCCUUCCUGCCAACUGUUCCGCUUACAAUACAAGUAGAGAAGAGCACUGGCUGGCAAGCAUCAACAGAGUCUUCCUCCUAACGUGAGCACAUCCCUGUAAUGAGAAAAAGUCUGUGGUUUAGAAAAUAUGAUCAUGGUUGCCCACAGUCAGCAUACUCUUAAUGACUCAAAAUUCUGAAUUAUGGCAGAAAGGAAAAAUAAAACAGACUUCACAUUAGAACAUAGAAUCAUUUACAUCCUAACACUGACCACAGUUCACUAAAGCUCAGUAGCAUUAACAGAUAUAGUUAGGAAAUGCAGUUUCCUAACUUCAGGGUGACGACAAGAUAUGUAUAACAGUGACAGAAAUCUCCAAAGCUGCUGUAUAUGAUAUAGCUUUGUUAAAUAUGAAGGUCAUUUAAAUACAAUUGAUGUUUAGUACUAUAUAUGUACUUUUCACAUUCUUUGGAUUUCUGGAAGGUAAUGACACCUUACUGUUUACAGCUAAUGCAUAGUUACUUGCAUGCCAUGGUUGUACAGUAGCAGACUACGACCCUAUUGUGAUAUUAAAUGUUUAUUUCAUAAUGCCAUCUCUACAUAGCUUAAUUUGAUGAGGAUUGAAUGUAAUAUAUAACAGGAAUGAUUAUACAAUAUGUAGUUGUAUCUUAUAUAAGAUUGCUAGGUUGCAUCUUACCAUGACUAUGUCAUUAUUUUGAUAAUUAGGCAUUUAUGAAUUAUAGUAUAUAUUCCUCAUGUUGGCAUGAUAAUUUUGCUAUUUUCCAUGCAUUAAAAAUAAGACAAAUUCUUAGAGUAAUUUUAGUAAUUUUAUCUAUAAUCUGUGGGGGUUUUUGGAGGGGGAGGCCACUGGUUGUUUCUACUUCCCUAUGAUAUUUUCUCUCUCAGUAAAGGAAUGAGCUAAGUUUGUAAAUGUCUCCUAAAAACAAUCAAGUAAUUUUAUUAGCUUCUUUUGGACCCUUUAAAUGUUGACUUCUCCCAUUAAAAAAUAAAUUGAUAUAACUAGUGAUUGCAAAGAUAUAAUCAUUUUUUAAAAGUGAUGGCCCAAUGUAUUUAAUUCUCUAACAAUUGUCACAAGAGAAAGCAUACAUAAUAAAAAUACAAAAACAUACAGAUUUAGAUGUAAAAUCUAUAUCAGCUGUAUUUUUAGGGAGGCUAAGCAGAUGGUAUUACUGUGGAAGAAUUAUCAAGUUUUAUUCACCUCAAAUCCCACUGGGUUCUUAAAACUUGAAAAUUCAAAUUGUAGAGGAUUAUGAGACAAUGCAAUGUUAACUUAAAGUCAUACUAUACCUUUCUGGGCCAAAUAUUGCUAACUCUGUGGCUAAUUAUGCAAUUAAUUCUCAACUUAUCAAAGCUUUUUACUGGCAAUAAAUUCUUUGCCCUCAAGUGAAGUGGAUUGAAAAGACAUCAAGGAUAAUCACUUUGAGUCUGUGUCUUGGUUUUCCCCCUACAUUCCAGACACUUUAAAUUUGGAUGUUUUCAUUUUUUUUUAAAUAAAACCACACAAAUAUGCAGAUACUUUCCCAGAAUUUCUCAGUUAAAUGGCUGAUUCUCUUGAAAACUAACCUUAAUGGAGUUGUAAACAUUUCAGUUUAGAAUGACUUUGAAAAAUUCCUUAGAUUUUAGGAUGUUUUAUUCUACCAAAUAUGAAAAAAUAAAUUGGUUAAAUACAAUGGAGUUUUAAAAUUAACCUGGGGAUUCUAUUUGAACUAGAAAAUUCCUAUCGGAAAAGAAUUUGCACAUACAGAUUCAGCUAAUAAAUUUUAAGAGGAUUAGGAUUCUCAUAAUUGCUUUAAAUGAAAAUGCAUUUUAGUGAUACACAGAGAUGCCAUAUACUAUAGUGUUCAAUAGGAAAACUUCAAAUAGGACAUGUUUAAAAAGGUAAUUGAUCCUUGCUUUACUUCCCAACAUCUCAUUUUCUUUUGGCUGCAGUAAGAUAGAGGUGACUGUAUGGCUGCAGUUCAUGGCAUAAGGUCAUUUAGGGCGCACACUGGCACAUAGGCUGGAAAACAGGCACUGGACCCAGCUUUCAGGUGUGUGAUGUUGGGUGCGUUUCACCUUUGAAACUCAGCCUUCCAUCUGUAAAGGGCGGCAAUGGUGCCCACCUUUCGAGGCAUUGCGAGGCUAGAUGGUAACACACAAAAAGCUCCCACACUGGGACCUUGAUGCAGCAUAGCUGGCAUUAACAACUGUGGGGACACCGGGCCACUCUUUUUCUACCAGUUGUUUUAUGAAUCCACCUAUUAAUUUUCAUCCAUCUUUUCAUCAUAGGUAAAGGUCAAUCAGGUUUUUCAAAAAGACUCCCUGAAUAACUUAAGUUCCUGUAUUUCUAAGAUACAGGGAUUUCUAUGAAACGAAUUUGACAUUUGGUCAAUAAAGACUUAAACUCUUCUUAAAUCUAUACAGUUUUAGGAGAGUAUUUCAUAAAAUUACUGACUGAUGACAUUGAGACAAGAGCAUCAAUUAUCACCUUUCACAUACAAAUUAGGCAAGACAGGGUCAGUGCUUACAUUUUGUGGUUAUACAUGAUACAUUUUUUUCAGUGAAGAUAAAACUAUGAUUUGAAAGGUGUCUUAUAUUUUAAAAAGAUUUUAAAAUCUUUUUUAAAAAACUUUUAAAAAAAGACUGAUCAAAGGAACUAUUUCUACCCGUCUAUGCUCUUUUAAAUGUCAAGUUUCAAAACCCAUUUUCAUACACUAGGGUGAGUUUGAAAUUUACCUGAUUACAGGAAUUGCUUGGGUUCGGGCAGAUUCCCACUUUGACCUCUAGAGAUUUAGAUUCAGAAACACUGGGGUAGGCCCUGGAGAGCAGUACUCUUAAUAAGCUCCUCAGUGCUUCUUACCAUUAGGCAAAUUAGGGAAACGGCAUUGGGUCAAAGUGCUGCCUUUAUCGACCAUUAGAGGGAGUUCUUUAAAUAACGAAGUUAUUGCUCUAAUUCAAAAUGCGUUAAAGAAUUUUCCAAGGAAUACAAGCCAUCUGGUUGGUGUUACAGCAGUGUUUUCAUUAGAGUGUACAUUUAACAUUUUAGUUUUAUCAAAAUUUUUUGAAAUUAAGAAUUAGAACCAGAGCUCCUAUCAGUAUAUAUGUACGCAGGUGUGCAUGCCAGUGUUAAAAACAGAUUGUGUAAAAGUUCAAGCCCAUUUUAGAAAGCCAACAUUUUAUGUUACAAUGUG